UACAGAGGUCCCAAGCGCUGUUCGGAUUCACUGGGCGUAAAGGGUGCGUAGGUGGUUAGGUAAGUCCGAUGUGAAAUCUCCAGGCUCAACCUGGAAAUGGCAUUGGAUACUAUCUAGCUUGAGGAGUGGAGGGGGGGACUGGAAUUCUCGGUGUAGCAGUGAAAUGCGUAGAUAUCGAGAGGAACACCAGUGGCGAAGGCGAGUCCCUGGACACUUCCUGACACUGAGGCACGAAAGCUAGGGGGAGCAAACAGG
This 255-nucleotide ribosomal RNA is filed under the name uncultured bacterium. RNAcentral describes it as "partial 16S ribosomal RNA". It matches the Rfam family "Bacterial small subunit ribosomal RNA", at positions 524 to 776 of the family's 1533-position model. The record is from RNAcentral.